This 492-nucleotide ribosomal RNA is filed under the name uncultured bacterium. Its description in RNAcentral is "partial 16S ribosomal RNA". It matches the Rfam family "Bacterial small subunit ribosomal RNA", at positions 29 to 507 of the family's 1533-position model. The record is from RNAcentral.
AGUGAACGCUGGCGGUAGGCCUAACACAUGCAAGUCGAACGGCAGCACAGUAAGAGCUUGCUCUUACGGGUGGCGAGUGGCGGACGGGUGAGGAAUACAUCGGAAUCUACUUUUUCGUGGGGGAUAACGAAGGGAAACUUACGCUAAUACCGCAUACGACCUACGGGUGAAAGCAGGGGAUCUUCGGACCUUGCGCGAUUGAAUGAGCCGAUGUCGGAUUAGCUAGUUGGCGGGGUAAAGGCCCACGCAGGCGACGAUCCGUAGCCGGUCUGGGAGGAGGAUCACCGACAUUGGAGGGGAGCCACGGUCCAGACUCCUGAGGGAGGCCGCAGUGGGGAAUAUGAGACAGCGGGGGCAAGCAUGACACAGCCAUACCGAGUGGGAUGAGGAGGCCUUCGGGUUGUAAAGACGUUUUGUUGGGAAAGAAAAGCAGCAGGUUAAUACCCCGCUGUUCUGACGGUACCCAAAGAAUAAGCACCGGCUAACUUCGUG